GCGGCUGUAAUUCAGUGGUAGAAUGCAAGCUUCCCAAGCUUGACGUCGUGGGUUCGAGUCCCAUCGGCCGCUCCA
This 75-nucleotide transfer RNA is filed under the name bacterium. Its description in RNAcentral is "tRNA-Gly". It matches the Rfam family "tRNA". Rfam says of the family: Transfer RNA (tRNA) molecules are approximately 80 nucleotides in length. Their secondary structure includes four short double-helical elements and three loops (D, anti-codon, and T loops). Further hydrogen bonds mediate the characteristic L-shaped molecular structure. tRNAs have two regions of fundamental functional importance: the anti-codon, which is responsible for specific mRNA codon recognition, and the 3' end, to which the tRNAs corresponding amino acid is attached (by aminoacyl-tRNA synthetases). tRNAs cope with the degeneracy of the genetic code in two manners: having more than one tRNA (with a specific anti-codon) for a particular amino acid; and 'wobble' base-pairing, i.e. permitting non-standard base-pairing at the 3rd anti-codon position. RNAcentral also lists the same sequence under 1 other name. The record is from RNAcentral.